AGCAGCCGCGGUAAUUCCAGCUCCAAUAGCGUAUAUUAAAGUUGUUGCAGUUAAAAAAGCUCGUAGUUGAACUUUCGGGAUCAAAUUGUCGGUCGUGCCUCGGUACGCACUGGCAUUAUUGGUUCCUACCUUCUGGAGAACCGCGAUGUUAUUAAUUUGGUGUCGUGGGGAAUCAGGACUGUUACUUUGAAAAAAUUAGAGUGUUUAAAGCAGGCGCACGCUUGAAUACAUUAGCAUGGAAUAAUGAAAUAGGACGUUUGAUUCUAUUUUGUUGGUUUCUAGGAUCGACGUAAUGAUUAAUAGGGAUAGUUGGGGGCAUUAGUAUUCAAUUGUCAGAGGUGAAAUUCUUGGAUUUAUUGAAGACUAACUACUGCGAAAGCAUUUGCCAAGGAUGUUUUCAUUAAUCAAGAACGAAAGUUAGGGGAUCGAAGACGAUCAGAUACCGUCGUAGUCGUUAAACCAUAAACUAUAGCCGACUAGGGAUCGGAUGAUGUUAAUUUUUAAUGUACUCUA
Molecule: ribosomal RNA, 513 nt
Filed under: uncultured Glomeraceae
Lineage: Eukaryota; Fungi; Glomeromycota; Glomeromycetes; Glomerales; Glomeraceae
Description: SSU rRNA
Rfam family: Eukaryotic small subunit ribosomal RNA
Source: RNAcentral